Molecule: ribosomal RNA, 520 nt
Filed under: uncultured bacterium
Lineage: Bacteria
Description: bacterial SSU rRNA
Rfam family: Bacterial small subunit ribosomal RNA
Source: RNAcentral
AGAGUUGAUCAUGGCUCAGGAUGAACGCUAGCUACAGGCUUAACACAUGCAAGUCGAGGGCAGCAUGUGGUUGCUUGCAACCAAUGAUGGCGACCGGCGCACGGGUGAGUAACGCGUAUCCAACCUUCCCUAUAGUAGAGGAUAGCCCGGCGAAAGUCGGAUUAAUACUCUAUGUUUUCCAAUGCAGACAUCUAAGUUGGAACAAAGGUUCACCGCUAUAGGAUGGGGAUGCGUCUGAUUAGAUAGUCGGCGGGGUAACGGCCCACCGAGUCGACGAUCAGUAGGGGUUCUGAGAGGAAGGUCCCCCACAUUGGAACUGAGACACGGUCCAAACUCCUACGGGAGGCAGCAGUGAGGGAAUAUUGGUCAAUGGGCGAGAGCCUGAACCAGCCAAGUAGCCGUGCAGGAUGACGGCCCUAUGGGUUGUAAACUGCUUUUAUACAGGGAUAAAGUGACGUACGUGUACGUUAUUGUAGGUACUGUAUGAAUAAGGACCGGCUAAUUCCGUGCCAGCCGCGGC